GAUGAACGCUGGCGGCGUGCCUAAUACAUGCAAGUCGAGCGAACGGAUAAGGAGCUUGCUCCUUUGAAGUUAGCGGCGGACGGGUGAGUAACACGUGGGUAACCUACCUAUAAGACUGGAAUAACUUCGGGAAACCGGAGCUAAUGCCGGAUAACAUUUGGAACCGCAUGGUUCUAAAGUAAAAGAUGGUUUUGCUAUCACUUAUAGAUGGACCCGCGCCGUAUUAGCUAGUUGGUAAGGUAACGGCUUACCAAGGCAACGAUACGUAGCCGACCUGAGAGGGUGAUCGGCCACACUGGAACUGAGACACGGUCCAGACUCCUACGGGAGGCAGCAGUAGGGAAUCUUCCGCAAUGGACGAAAGUCUGACGGAGCAACGCCGCGUGAGUGAUGAAGGUUUUCGGAUCGUAAAACUCUGUUAUUAGGGAAGAACAAAUGUGUAAGUAACUGUGCACAUCUUGACGGUACCUAAUCAGAAAGCCACGGCUAACUACGUGCCAGCAGCCGCGGUAAUACGUAGGUGGCAAGCGUUAUCCGGAAUUAUUGGGCGUAAAGCGCGCGUAGGCGGUUUCUUAAGUCUGAUGUGAAAGCCCACGGCUCAACCGUGGAGGGUCAUUGGAAACUGGGAAACUUGAGUACAGAAGAGGAAAGUGGAAUUCCAUGUGUAGCGGUGAAAUGCGCAGAGAUAUGGAGGAACACCAGUGGCGAAGGC
Molecule: ribosomal RNA, 712 nt
Filed under: uncultured bacterium
Lineage: Bacteria
Description: bacterial SSU rRNA
Rfam family: Bacterial small subunit ribosomal RNA
Source: RNAcentral